CACGUAGGCACCAAGCGUUGUCCGGAUUUAUUGGGCGUAAAGAGCUCGUAGGCGGUUCAGUAAGUCGGGUGUGAAAACUCAGGGCUCAACUCUGAGAUGCCACUCGAUACUGCUGUGACUUGAGUACGGUAGGGGAGCGGGGAAUUCCUGGUGUAGCGGUGAAAUGCGCAGAUAUCAGGAGGAACACCAGUGGCGAAGGCGCCGCUCUGGGCCGUGACUGACGCUGAGGAGCGAAAGCGUGGGUAGCAAACAGGAUUA
This 258-nucleotide ribosomal RNA is filed under the name uncultured prokaryote. RNAcentral describes it as "partial 16S ribosomal RNA". It matches the Rfam family "Bacterial small subunit ribosomal RNA", at positions 524 to 780 of the family's 1533-position model. The record is from RNAcentral.